This 274-nucleotide ribosomal RNA is filed under the name uncultured bacterium. RNAcentral describes it as "partial 16S ribosomal RNA". It matches the Rfam family "Bacterial small subunit ribosomal RNA", at positions 523 to 796 of the family's 1533-position model. The record is from RNAcentral.
AUACGGAGGGGGCUAGCGUUGUUCGGAAUUACUGGGCGUAAAGCGCGCGUAGGCGGAUUAGUCAGUUGGGGGUGAAAGCCCGGAGCUCAACUCCGGAAUUGCCUUCAAUACUGCUAGUCUUGAGUUCGUGAGAGGGUGGUGGAAUUCCUAGUGUAGAGGUGAAAUUCGUAGAUAUUAGGAAGAACACCAGUGGCGAAGGCGGCCACCUGGCUCGAUACUGACGCUGAGGUGCGAAAGCGUGGGGAGCAAACAGGAUUAGAAACCCCAGUAGUCC